CGCCGCGUGAGUGAAGAAGGGUUUCGGCUCGUAAAACUCUGUUGUUAAAGAAGAACAUAUCUGAGAGUAACUGUUCAGGUAUUGACGGUAUUUAACCAGAAAGCCACGGCUAACUACGUGCCAGCAGCCGCGGUAAUACGUAGGUGGCAAGCGUUGUCCGGAUUUAUUGGGCGUAAAGCGAGCGCAGGCGGUUUUUAAGUCUGAUGUGAAAGCCUUCGGCUCAAACCGAAGAAGUGCAUCGGAAACUGGGAAACUUGAGUGCAGAAGAGGACAGUGGAACUCCAUGUGUAGCGGUGAAAUGCGUAGAUAUAUGGAAGAACACCAGUGGCGAAGGCGGCUGUCUGGUCUGUAACUGACGCUGAGGCUCGAAAGUAUGGGUAGCAAACAGGAUUAGAUACCCUGGUAG
Molecule: ribosomal RNA, 406 nt
Filed under: uncultured bacterium
Lineage: Bacteria
Description: bacterial SSU rRNA
Rfam family: Bacterial small subunit ribosomal RNA
Source: RNAcentral